GGCUGGUCCAAAGGUCCAACUGAGUUAUCUCAGUUGACUUUUCAGUCAGUUAUAGAUGAAACUCCUUGUUCUAGUCUUUCUCCACUUGUUACUACUGCGCUUGACUAGUCUUAA
Gorilla gorilla gorilla (western lowland gorilla) is the source of this 114-nucleotide unclassified non-coding RNA. It matches the Rfam family "Y RNA". Rfam says of the family: Y RNAs are components of the Ro ribonucleoprotein particle (Ro RNP), in association with Ro60 and La proteins. The Y RNAs and Ro60 and La proteins are well conserved, but the function of the Ro RNP is not known. Lineage: Eukaryota; Metazoa; Chordata; Mammalia; Primates; Hominidae. The record is from Ensembl.